This 287-nucleotide ribosomal RNA is filed under the name uncultured Comamonas sp. RNAcentral describes it as "partial 16S ribosomal RNA". It matches the Rfam family "Bacterial small subunit ribosomal RNA", at positions 1089 to 1382 of the family's 1533-position model. The record is from RNAcentral. Lineage: Bacteria; Pseudomonadati; Pseudomonadota; Betaproteobacteria; Burkholderiales; Comamonadaceae.
GCAACGAGCGCAACCCUUGCCAUUAGUUGCUACGAAAGGGCACUCUAAUGGGACUGCCGGUGACAAACCGGAGGAAGGUGGGGAUGACGUCAAGUCCUCAUGGCCCUUAUAGGUGGGGCUACACACGUCAUACAAUGGCUGGUACAAAGGGUUGCCAACCCGCGAGGGGGAGCCAAUCCCAUAAAGCCAGUCGUAGUCCGGAUCGCAGUCUGCAACUCGACUGCGUGAAGUCGGAAUCGCUAGUAAUCGUGGAUCAGCAUGUCAUGGUGAAUACGUUCCCGGGUCUU